GUUAAAAAUAUUCACAGAAAAAAUGAUAAGACACAGAUCACGAGACAAUCAUCAAAAGGCCCAAUUAAAAGAAAAAAAAAGGGGAAAUUUUUAUAAAAAGCCGAGAAGAGAGGACUAGUGGGAUUAUAAGGGACCUGAGCUAAGCCUAAUGAGCUCUUUACUAUUGGGAGAGAAGGAGAAAUUCUUAGGUAGCGCUUUAAAUUUUGGCCACUCUGUUCUCUGUGUGUAAUUGUUGAAGGACCUCACAAUAAAUACAAUACGAUGCAUUGACUCCAUUACAGUCACAGAUUCACACCCUUCAGCGACCCUUCUCUAUUUCUUGAGGUUCUUGGCCUUGAUUGCUUCGCUAGUAUGUGAAAGAAGCUAUCAUUUUCUUGAUUCUCCGAUGGGUUGUUGUGUAAGCACUCAUGGCCAUGGAACUUCAACAAAGAGCCAGAAUUUUCAAGUGGGAUCUGAGUCUUUGAAACCCAAGUCAACUCGUGAAAGUAGAGCUCCUUCCCCUUCUGUUGAAGAAGAAACAGUCAAAGAAGUCCUU
RNAcentral lists this unclassified non-coding RNA (535 nucleotides) under Hevea brasiliensis (rubber tree). The record is from RNAcentral. Lineage: Eukaryota; Viridiplantae; Streptophyta; Magnoliopsida; Malpighiales; Euphorbiaceae.